UUUUAUGUAUGUUACAUCAGAACUUUUGCCCGUGUGGACCGAUUUCGACAAAUUUUGUUUUAAUCGAAAGGUGGUGUAUGCCAAUUGGUCCCAUUUAAAUUUAUUUGAGAUCUAACAACUACUUUUCGAGCUAUAUCUAAUAAUGCGUUUUUACGUUGUAUUAUACCACAUAACUUGCUACUGGAUGUACCGAUUUUGAUAAUUCUUUUUUUGUUGGAAAGGAGAUAUCCCAAGUUUAGUACCAUGAUAAGGAAACCAGGAUCUGAUGAUG
Molecule: unclassified non-coding RNA, 271 nt
Filed under: Melitaea cinxia (Glanville fritillary)
Lineage: Eukaryota; Metazoa; Arthropoda; Insecta; Lepidoptera; Nymphalidae
Description: misc RNA ENSMCXG00005018899.1
Source: RNAcentral